This 162-nucleotide long non-coding RNA is filed under the name Mustela putorius furo (domestic ferret). RNAcentral describes it as "lncRNA (ENSMPUG00000024111.1)". Lineage: Eukaryota; Metazoa; Chordata; Mammalia; Carnivora; Mustelidae. The record is from RNAcentral.
AUGGAGCCGCAAAAGCAGGGACAGAGGGACCUUUGGGAGCAAUUUACAGUCACCUAUCACAGAGUAUCCCAGACUCUUAUGCUCUGGAUGAAGACAAAAGGAACCAUCUCUUUCCUAAGACACCCCAUGCAGCUGGCUGGAGAACAUCCAGGAGCCUAGAAG